UACCGGCAGCUCGAGUGAUGGCCGAUUUUAUUGGGCCUAAAGCGUCCGUAGCUGGCCCUGCAAGUCCGUCGGGAAAUCCACUCGCCUAACGAGUGGGCGUCCGGCGGAAACUACAGGGCUUGGGACCGGAAGACUUGAGGGGUACGUCUGGGGUAGGAGUGAAAUCCUGUAAUCCUGGACGGACCGCCGAUGGCGAAAGCACCUCAAGACGACGAAUCCGACAGUGAGGGACGAAAGCUAGGGUCUCGAACCGG
Molecule: ribosomal RNA, 254 nt
Filed under: uncultured archaeon
Lineage: Archaea
Description: partial 16S ribosomal RNA
Rfam family: Archaeal small subunit ribosomal RNA
Source: RNAcentral